This 124-nucleotide small RNA is filed under the name Marmota monax (woodchuck). The record is from RNAcentral. Lineage: Eukaryota; Metazoa; Chordata; Mammalia; Rodentia; Sciuridae.
GCUGGGCAUAGUGGUGCAUGCCAGUAAUCCAGCAACUCAGGAGGCUGAGGCAGGAGGAUGGCUAGUUCAAAGCAAGCCUCAGCAAAAGUGAGGCACUAAGCAACUCAGUGAGACCCUGUCUCUA